GGGCCGGUAGCUCAGGUGGUUAGAGCGCACGCCUGAUAAGCGUGAGGUCGGAGGUUCAAGUCCUCCUCGGCCCA
This is a transfer RNA of Roseibium sp. TrichSKD4, 74 nucleotides long. It matches the Rfam family "tRNA". Rfam says of the family: Transfer RNA (tRNA) molecules are approximately 80 nucleotides in length. Their secondary structure includes four short double-helical elements and three loops (D, anti-codon, and T loops). Lineage: Bacteria; Pseudomonadati; Pseudomonadota; Alphaproteobacteria; Hyphomicrobiales; Stappiaceae. The record is from Rfam.